This 698-nucleotide ribosomal RNA is filed under the name Salmonella enterica subsp. enterica serovar Typhimurium. RNAcentral's name for it is "partial 23S ribosomal RNA". It matches the Rfam family "Bacterial large subunit ribosomal RNA", at positions 1951 to 2648 of the family's 2925-position model. The record is from RNAcentral. Lineage: Bacteria; Pseudomonadati; Pseudomonadota; Gammaproteobacteria; Enterobacterales; Enterobacteriaceae.
CUAAGGUAGCGAAAUUCCUUGUCGGGUAAGUUCCGACCUGCACGAAUGGCGUAAUGAUGGCCAGGCUGUCUCCACCCGAGACUCAGUGAAAUUGAACUCGCUGUGAAGAUGCAGUGUACCCGCGGCAAGACGGAAAGACCCCGUGAACCUUUACUAUAGCUUGACACUGAACAUUGAGCCUUGAUGUGUAGGAUAGGUGGGAGGCUUUGAAGUGUGGACGCCAGUCUGCAUGGAGCCGACCUUGAAAUACCACCCUUUAAUGUUUGAUGUUCUAACGUGGACCCGUAAUCCGGGUUGCGGACAGUGUCUGGUGGGUAGUUUGACUGGGGCGGUCUCCUCCUAAAGAGUAACGGAGGAGCACGAAGGUUGGCUAAUCCUGGUCGGACAUCAGGAGGUUAGUGCAAUGGCAUAAGCCAGCUUGACUGCGAGCGUGACGGCGCGAGCAGGUGCGAAAGCAGGUCAUAGUGAUCCGGUGGUUCUGAAUGGAAGGGCCAUCGCUCAACGGAUAAAAGGUACUCCGGGGAUAACAGGCUGAUACCGCCCAAGAGUUCAUAUCGACGGCGGUGUUUGGCACCUCGAUGUCGGCUCAUCACAUCCUGGGGCUGAAGUAGGUCCCAAGGGUAUGGCUGUUCGCCAUUUAAAGUGGUACGCGAGCUGGGUUUAGAACGUCGUGAGACAGUUCGGUCCCUAUCUGCCGU